ACAGCAGUCGCCGCGGUAAUACGAAGGGUGCAAGCGUUACUCGGAAUUACUGGGCGUAAAGCGUGCGUAGGUGGUGGUUUAAGUCCGUUGUGAAAGCCCUGGGCUCAACCUGGGAAUUGCAGUGGAUACUGGGUCACUAGAGUGUGGUAGAGGAUAGUGGAAUUUCCGGUGUAGCAGUGAAAUGCGUAGAGAUCGGAAGGAACAUCUGUGGCGAAGGCGACUAUCUGGGCCAACACUGACACUGAGGCACGAAAGCGUGGGGAGCAAACAGGAUUAGAGACCCGAGUAGUCCCUGUCUCUUAUAC
Molecule: ribosomal RNA, 305 nt
Filed under: uncultured bacterium
Lineage: Bacteria
Description: partial 16S ribosomal RNA
Rfam family: Bacterial small subunit ribosomal RNA
Source: RNAcentral